CAGCCGCCACGGGAAUACAGAGGGUGCGAGCGUUAAUCGGAUUUACUGGGCGUAAAGCGUGCGUAGGCGGCUUUUUAAGUCGGAUGUGAAAUCCCUGAGCUUAACUUAGGAAUUGCAUUCGAUACUGGGAAGCUAGAGUAUGGGAGAGGAUGGUAGAAUUCCAGGUGUAGCGGUGAAAUGCGUAGAGAUCUGGAGGAAUACCGAUGGCGAAGGCAGCCAUCUGGCCUAAUACUGACGCUGAGGUACGAAAGCAUGGGGAGCAAACAGGAUUAGAUACCCCAGUAGUCCCUGUCUCUUAUAA
Molecule: ribosomal RNA, 301 nt
Filed under: uncultured bacterium
Lineage: Bacteria
Description: partial 16S ribosomal RNA
Rfam family: Bacterial small subunit ribosomal RNA
Source: RNAcentral